This 409-nucleotide ribosomal RNA is filed under the name uncultured soil bacterium. RNAcentral's name for it is "bacterial SSU rRNA". It matches the Rfam family "Bacterial small subunit ribosomal RNA", at positions 26 to 432 of the family's 1533-position model. The record is from RNAcentral.
AGGAUGAACGCUGGCGGCGUGCUUAACACAUGCAAGUCGAACGAUGACCCGGUGCUUGCACUGGUGAUUAGUGGCGAACGGGUGAGUAACACGUGAGUAACCUGCCCUUAACUCUGGGAUAAGCCUGGGAAACUGGGUCUAAUACCGGAUAUGACUCCUCAUCGCAUGGUGGGGGGUGGAAAGCUUUUUGUGGUUUUGGAUGGACUCGCGGCCUAUCAGCUUGUUGGUGAGGUAAUGGCUCACCAAGGCGACGACGGGUAGCCGGCCUGAGAGGGUGACCGGCCACACUGGGACUGAGACACGGCCCAGACUCCUACGGGAGGCAGCAGUGGGGGAAUAUUGGACAAUGGGCGAAAGCCUGAUCCAGCCAUGCCGCGUGCAGGAUGAAGGCCUUCGGGGUUGUAAACUG